Molecule: long non-coding RNA, 291 nt
Organism: Fundulus heteroclitus (mummichog)
Lineage: Eukaryota; Metazoa; Chordata; Actinopteri; Cyprinodontiformes; Fundulidae
Exons: 3
Source: RefSeq, a predicted model, not a curated record
UAUGACGAAGAGGACCAGGAGAGCGAUGUGAAGCAAAGGAACCAUGGCUUUGAUUAUGGAGUUCAACACGACCUGUAAACCUGCAGCACAAAGGCAGUGGCUAAGACCAUGAAGGAUCUCUGUUUAAAGACCUGACUGGCAUGCAGGUCAACCAAAGUGGAUUUCCUUCACAUGAUCAAUAUCAAGUCGAGCAGAUUCCAGCCGUUCCUCAGGUAGGCGUUGGGGUGGAAGAGCAGGCCGUAGGCUAUUACCUUGAGGAACGCCUCCACCGUGAAAAUGAUUAGGAACAGG